GACGAACGCUGGCGGCGUGCUUAACACAUGCAAGUCGAACGGUGACGGAGAGCUUGCUCUCCUGAUCAGUGGCGAACGGGUGAGUAACACGUGGGCAACCUGCCCCAGACUUCGGGAUAACGCUUCGAAAGAGGUGCUAAUACCGGAUACGAACUUCCCUGGCAUCUGGGAAGUUGGAAAGUUUUUCGGUCUGGGAUGGGCCCGCGGCCUAUCAGCUUGUUGGUGAGGUAAUGGCUCACCAAGGCGACGACGGGUAGCCGGCCUGAGAGGGCGACCGGCCACACUGGGACUGAGACACGGCCCAGACUCCUACGGGAGGCAGCAGUGGGGAAUAUUGCGCAAUGGGCGAAAGCCUGACGCAGCAACGCCGCGUGAGGGAUGACGG
Molecule: ribosomal RNA, 385 nt
Filed under: uncultured bacterium
Lineage: Bacteria
Description: bacterial SSU rRNA
Rfam family: Bacterial small subunit ribosomal RNA
Source: RNAcentral